This 206-nucleotide ribosomal RNA is filed under the name Clostridioides difficile. Its description in RNAcentral is "partial 16S ribosomal RNA". It matches the Rfam family "Bacterial small subunit ribosomal RNA", at positions 574 to 780 of the family's 1533-position model. The record is from RNAcentral. Lineage: Bacteria; Bacillati; Bacillota; Clostridia; Peptostreptococcales; Peptostreptococcaceae.
GGCGGUCUUUCAAGUCAGGAGUGAAAGGCUACGGCUCAACCGUAGUAAGCUCUUGAAACUGGGAGACUUGAGUGCAGGGGAGGAGAGUGGAAUUCCUAGUGUAGCGGUGAAAUGCGUAGAUAUUAGGGGGAACACCAGUUGCGAAGGCGGCUCUCUGGACUGUAACUGACGCUGAGGCACGAAAGCGUGGGGAGCAAACAGGAUUA